AAAGCGUGCGCAGGCGGUUUUGUAAGACUGUCGUGAAAUCCCCGGGCUCAACAUGGGAAUGGCGAUGGUGACUGCAAGGCUAGAGUUUGGCAGAGGGGGGUAGAAUUCCACGUGUAGCAGUGAAAUGCGUAGAUAUGUGGAGGAACACCGAUGGCGAAGGCAGCCCCCUGGGUCAAAACUGACGCUCAUGCACGAAAGCGUGGGGAGCAAACAGGAUUAGAUACCCUAGU
Molecule: ribosomal RNA, 230 nt
Filed under: uncultured bacterium
Lineage: Bacteria
Description: partial 16S ribosomal RNA
Rfam family: Bacterial small subunit ribosomal RNA
Source: RNAcentral